UUUGCAACCACAAAAGCCGCAAGGUCCAAGCCCCCUCCUGCUCCUCACGCCGAAGUCAGCAAGAAUGCCGACGGCGCGCCUCUGCCGGUAAAAAACUUCUCCUUUUCCCUCGUUCUUUCGUUUAUUUGUUUUUAAAAACAAGGAAGAAAAUAAAAAAGGUACAAAACAGUAAAGAGAAAGGAAAAACGGAACCAAUCUCAAUACCUUCAAAACUUUUUUUUAUUCUCUGUUUUUGCUUUCUUCAAUCUUUUGAUACAAAGAAUUUUUUCUCUCAUUUCGUCUGUAUCGUUUUUUACACUGAAAAAAUCCCCCACUUUACAGAUUAAAAUCGGCCUUAUAUAGCUAAUUAAUACCAAAAAUCCAAAAAGAAAAAAUCAAAAACCCACUUAUUUUUCGUUAUUUGUUGCGCUUGUGUGCCUCUAUUUUUGCAGGUUUGGUGGUGAAGAGGGCGCAUAUACGUGGAGGCACAAAUCGCACGGAAGGGACCCUGGCUCCGAGUCGAGCGGUGACGGGGGUUGUUGGGAGCAGAAGCGCGCAAAAAGAGGGUGACAGUUGCGGCGGCUACUAGGGUUUUUGACUUUUGAUUUGGGUAAAAAUUUGUUAAAUUUUGGGCUUGUUGGGCUGUUGGUGUUUUGGGCUUGUAAUUAGGGUUAAUAUUUGGGCUAUUGGAUUGGGACUUUGGUUUGUACGGGCCCGGGUAAAUUGGGCUUAUUAUAGCUGCCCCUCUUUGCUUGUUGUCGUGUAACGGGAACAGAGCAAAGACUGAAAAGCCCAAUUGUGCCCGGUCUUACUAAGCUUCAACUUCCUCAAUGCUUCAUUUCUUCAGGUAGCAUCAUUCCUUCCUACUGCAUCUUCAGAGGUAUAGGAACCCGUGCUUCGAUCCACUCCACUGCAACAUCAGGGAGAUAGGAUUCGUACGUUGUAACUUUUCAAAAGAACAAAAUUUGCUAUCUUUAAUCUGCUCCACUGCAACUUUAGGGAGAUAAGACUUAUAGCUUCAAUUUGUUCUGCUACAACUUGAAAAAUAAAUCGGAUGCGAUCUGCUCUACUGUAACUUCAGAGAGAUGAGAUCUGCGGUUUUAAUCCACUCCAUUGCAGCUUCAAGGAGAUAGGAAUACUGGCUUCAACGUACUCCACUGUAACCUCAGGGAGGUAAAAUCCACCAUCUUUGAUCUGCUCCACUACUGCUUAGGGAGAUAAGAUCUGUAAUCUUUAAUCUAUUCCACUGUUGCCCAGGGAGAUAGAAUUACUGGCUUCAAUGUACUCCACUGCAACCUCAGGGAGGUAAAAUCCACCAUCUUUGAUCUGCUCCACUACUGUUUAGGGAGAUAAGAUCUGUAAUCUUUAAUCUAUUCCACUGUUGCCCAGGGAGAUAGAAUUACUGGCUUCAAUGUCUCCACUGCAACCUCAGGGAGAUAAAAUCAGCCAUCUUCGAUCUGCUUCGCUGUUUAUGUAGGAAGGCAAGAUCUUCUAUAUUUGAUCUACUUGACGCCAGUACAUGAAGACAAGAUCUAUUUUCUUCGAUCUACUUCGCCACCAGUACGGGAAGAUAAGAUCUGGUAUCUUUGAUCUACUUCACGCCAGUAUAUGAAGACAAGAUCUGCUUUUUCAAUCGAUUCCACUGCCGACCGGGGAGGUAGAAUUACUGGCUUCAACAUACUCCACUGCAACUUCAGGGAGGUAAAAUCCGCCAUCUUCGAUCUGCUCCACUACUGCUUAGGGAGGCAAAAUCUGUAAUUUUCAAUCUACUUUGCCGCCGGUAUGGGAAGAUGUAUAUUCGAUCCACUUCGCUACCAAUAUAGGAAGACAGGACCUACUAUCUUUGAUCUACUUCACGCCAGUACAUGAAGACACGAUCUGUUUUCUUCGACCUACUCCAUCACCAGUAUGGGGGGACAAGAUCUGUUUCUUUGAUCUACUUCACGCCAAUACAUGAAGACAAGAUCUACUUUCAUUGAUCUACUCCACCACCAGUAUGGGGAGACAAGGUCUGUUGACUUUGAUCUACUUCACGCCGAUACAUGAAGGCAAGAUCUGCUUUCUUUGAUCUACUCCACCACCAGUAUGGGGAGACAAGAUCUGUUGACUUUGAUCUACUUCACGCUGAUACAUGAAGACAAUAUCUACUUUCUUUCGAUCUGCUUCGCCACUAGUAUGGGAAGGCGAGAUCUGUAUAUUCGAUCUAUUUCACGCUAGUACAUGAAGACAAGAUCUGUAUUCCUUCGAUCUGCUUCGCCACCAGUAUGGGAAGGCGAGAUCUGUUAUCUUUGAUCUACUUCACGCCAGUACAUGAAGACAAGAUCUGCUUUUUCCUUCGAUCUGCUUCGCCACCAGUAUGGGAAGGCGAGAUUUGUAUAUUCGAUCCACUUCGCUACCAAUAUAGGAAGACAAGACCUGCUGCUUCUCAAAACCUGCUCAACUGUUGUUCAGGGAGAUAAGGCUUUAUGAUUUCACCAAUCUGUUCUCUGGGGAACAUGACCUGUAUAAUUCACUUUAUGAACCUAACUAUGCCUAAUGAUUAAGAUGUCAUGAUCAAAUGAAUCAAAUGCUCCUAACUAGGCGUGUAUGAAUGACAUUUGAAUGAAUGCAGAAUGUCAUUUUUUCGAGAAUGAUCCCUCAUUUUCACUUAGGUUAUCAUUACUCAAAGUUUAUUUAAAGUUUCAUCGCUAAUGUGCUAGAGCACCCUCUUGCUCAGCUGGCGUCUCGAAAGAAACACUUGACCAGAUUGCCCCUCACUGUAAACCUCCAAGUUUGAUCCAUUGGGAUGCAAAAUUUAUACCAUCUUUCUCCCGUUGUCACCCAAGAGUAAAAAGAUUUGGUCUUUUCUCAAUCCUCUACUAUCACAAUUCAAGGAUACAGGAUAUGAAACUCUUUGGUCCCUUACACCAUUCCCAGGGUGUCAUACUAAAUUCUCAUGCACAAAUGAAGAAUGUUCCUCUCCAAGAACAACUUCUUCUUAUUAUUCGGUGAUCAUUGCCUGCUUGUUCAUUGAAGCCUUGUCACCAACAUGACACAUUGCCAUUUUGUCCAAUCGAUGUUUUAGGCAACAAAAUUUAAAGGGAUAGUCUGAAUUUAGACUUUUCCUUAUUAGAUUUCCAACCUGGUGCGUUCUAAACAAUAGUCCUGUUUCAGGUUCCUGUAUUAUUUAGAAACUUCUAGAGUAAUAUGCAAAACUUCCCUUGUGAAAGUUUUAUUAGUCUGUUAACCAUUAUUCUAAUGCAACAUGCUUGCAAAAAGAUCAUGGAUAAGAAUAGAGUUGGCUCUGAGCAUAGCUCGAAAUGAAUAAAUUAUCAAGGAUAAUAAAGAUGGAUAACAAGGAAAUUGAUUUAGGAAUGCAUAUCUUGGAAAUAAAUGAAGUGUUCCAAGAAUAACAAAAAUAGUAUAAGGAUUAGGUGCCCUAGAUAUCGCAGCCUGAACUUCUCUGUACAGACUUUCUGAAGACCAUUCUGACUUUAACAUGUGUUUAGGAGAUCUACAGUACUUUGUCGAUGCCCCCAAAAUGUCGCCUACCCUUUCCUGUUGAUUCAGGUAUAGCAAAACCACUGCAUGCCCCGCUCUGAUCAGUAUAUGAGCUGCUCUGAUUACUUUAUGCCCCAUUCUGAUCAAUAUUUGAGCCGCCCUUUUCGGGUUUUCAACUUAAAUCCCCUUUGGUCUAAAGCGCCCUUUGCAAGUUUUCACCUUAGCCUCUCCAUUUUUUUUACUCAAGGCUCCCUUUGUAGGGUUUCACCCUGGUCUCUUUUUUUUUUACUCAAAGCGCCCUUUGUAGGCUUUCACCUUGGUCCCACCUUUUUUAAGCAGAGUAUUUCCUGACUGAAUCUAAGUUUACAGGACUUUGUAAAUUUUUACCAUCCAUCUCACUCAAGAUCAAAGCUUCUCCAGAAAAGGCUUUCUUUAUAACAUAUGAACCCUUCUAAUUUGGCCUCUAUCUUCCUCUAAAAUCCUUUUGUAUAGGAAGGAUCUUUUUCAACACUAGUUCCCUCUUGUGAAAUUCUUUGGGACGAACCUUCGGGUCUUCCUCUUAGGAUAAAAUGUAGAGAAAUGACAAUUCGACUUCAAUGAGUAAAGCUAUGAUAAGCCAAAGAGGAGGAUAUUGCCCCAGCAAAGAAAGUUUACUGCAUCGUUCAUAGCAUCGAUGUUGAACCUACUGCCCAUUUCUAACAUCAUGUUGUUAUUCAGAUUACAAGCUAGUGCUUAACCCGAGCAUAUCUGGGUAUGACCAUGUGAAGACAUCAUUGAAUUCUUGGGGUAGCUCUAUAAGGUCCCGCCUCAUCUUUGUGAUCAUGUCAAUUCACCAAGCUCACAAUUUCUGAUAAUUCAUCGCGAUGUAGGAUCUGUCUAUCCUCUUAUUCUAUCACCCUCCUCAAGUCUGGAGAUAAGCUACAAUCUAUGUCAUCUUCAAAGUCAUGAGAUCCCUCUAAACACAUGUCUCACUCAAAAGGAAUUUUUGAGUCUGUAGCAGCGUCACUCAUGACAUUGAUAUCUGGGGACCCAUAGUAGGUAUCCGAGAAUAUACAAAAGAAUGUAUGAAUAAUAUGAAUGAAUGGUUUGGCAGAGAAAAAAAAUCCAAAAAAAAAUGAAAAAACGUAAAGAAUGAAAGAACAUUUGCUCAAAGAUUAUUGCAAUAAUGUAUUUCAUUAAAAUAAUAAUGUUCAGACGUGAGCCUAUUUCAUAAAGAAAACCUUAUUGCUUCUAGGCUGAAAGCAACAAGUGUGUUCUGAACAUUACUCUAACAGACUUUAAAUACUUCAGGGGUUUCCUCCGCAGUCUCAUUAUUUAGAACACCUCUAAGGCAAAUAUCUAACAAGGACCCUUUAAAUUGUGUCUGCAUAUAUGGCAUCGAUGUGCAAAUUUCUCACCACUUUUUCAUACAUUGCAGUCCCUCUAUCCUCAAUCAUGAUUGGGUAGCAGAUUUCCUGCGCUAGACGAGUCACCAAACUUGAUAAUACCCAUGUUGAUAAGUCUUUCAACUUGCUUCUUGAAGGCGGUGCAAUUCUCAAUCGAGUGUCCCGUAAUUCUCGCGUGGUAGUCACAUUGUGUGUUCGCAUCAUACCAUUCGGGAUACGGAGGUUGUAGAGGCUUCACAUGAAAAGGGGAAACAACAUGUGCAUCAAACAAAUUUUGAUACAGUUCCUUAUACGGUACUGGGAUUGGUGUAAACUAGAACUUUUCAGUCUUUAUGCCGGAAUCUUACCUCGAAGAAUUUUGUUGAUUACCAACCACCUUUCUUGGCUGAACAGUAACUGAUUUAGAGUAACCCGUGUUGUUCACCUCAUUUUCUCUUCUUUUUGAGACUGACCUCUUGUUACUCUCCUAUAUAUUAAUUUUCCCACUUCUUAUCACAUUUUCGAUCAUUUCACCAUUCAUAAUUAUGUCAGAAAAGCUUUUUGUAGCAUUUCCUAACAUAUGCGUAAUGAAUGGGGCUUUCAGUGUGUUAAUAAAUAGCAUGGUCAUUUCUUUCUCCAAGAGCGGUGGCUGGACUUGGAUUGCGACUUCCCUCCAUCUUUGUGCAUAUUGCCUGAAGCUUUCACUCGGCUUCUUCUUCAUAUUUUGAAGGGUGAUUCUAUUAGGAGCCAUGUCUGUCACAUGACUAUAUUGUUUCAUGAAUGCUUGCGCCAAGUCUCUCCAUGAACCAAUCGUGGCACGACUCAACUGAUUGUACCACUUGGAUGCUGCCCCUGCAAGGCUGUCUUGGAAGCAAUGUAUUAAUAGCUGGUCAUUAUUAACGUAUCCAGCCAUUCGCCUGCAGAACAUGGUGAUAUGAGUCUCUGGGCAAGUCGUCCCAUUGUACUUCUCGAAUUCAGGCAUCUUAAAUUUAUGAGGAAGUACAAGGUCUGGCACUAAACUCAGCUCUUUUGCGUCAAUGCCUCGAUAACUUUCAGUGACUUCCAUCGCCUUGAACUUCUCCUCGAGCCACUUACAUCUCUCUUCUAACUGUCUCGGCAACUCCUCCUUCACUCUUUCCUUCUCAACCACUUCAUCAAAGUCAGGAACGGUAGAGUUAAUAGGAUUAUUUUCGGGAUUAAAACCUGGCCCAGUUUGAAGGUUCGAAAUACCAGCUCGAAAUUGCUGAGGCAUGAUGGUGACAGUAGAUUUACACGGGUGUUCAGCUUGUGCUCGCUCAUGUGGAGGGGUGAAACCUGGAGGAUAGAAAAGUUCAUUAUCAUUUCCCUCAUCGACAUCUGCCAUGGGGCCCUUUCCUUUGUCACCUCCCUUAGUUAUCAGUUGGGUUAACUUUGCCACUAUAUCUUCUUGGGAUUCUCGCAUCUUCUCAGACAUCUCUUGUUUCAUCUUGUCUAACCGCUCCUGCAUUUGUAGCUGAAGCCGGUCUUGCAUAUCAUUUUGGUACUAUUCGAGCUUCUCUAAUCUCUAAUCCAUAUCUUUUAUCUUUGCUCAAGUGCCAUAUCGGUGUUGGUUUUCCGAUUUAACUGAAAUAAUUUUACUCAAUUAGGCUCUUUCAAUAGAUUUUAAUGCAUAUGAUACUAUGUAAUGCAAAUGCAUGGGAUGAAUGCAAAAAGAGACGUUGAUUCUGAUUCAAUUCCAUUUAGAAAACUUUUCUAGAAGAUAAAUUUCUUUACAUAAAGCAGAGAUAUAUAUACGGCUUUGCCCUCAUACUCCAAGCGAGGACAUCUUCUCCUUCUUCAUCUGGAUGCUAAGAUAAAUCUUGCAAAUUCUUCAAAAGGGGUUAUCUCCUCUACCUCUUUUUUACUUGAUCCUGGUUAUAAUCCAACGUCUGCCCAUCCCCGUAAUGCUCCUCAACUUCUUUAAGAUAGUUGGAAUGUCAGAAACUCUUGAAUAAUUGGCUUGACCUUGAGGCACGAAGUAAAGUUAUGUGUUCCUCCAUCACCCUUCUCCUAUCACGUUUUCUUGGACCUUAUUCGGACGACCAUAUUGUCAUCCACUUUAUCAAGAAACCCAUUUUCGUAUGACAAGCUCUCUAUUUAGUAAUCGAACUCGAAUCAACAUCUCUUUUCUAAGAUGCAAAUGUAAUGCAAUCAUGAUGUCAUGUAAUCAAAACAAAAUAAACCUAAGUCAGUAUCCCACCAAAAAGAUAUAAUCCAAUACAAACAUGAAAUAGCCAGAACAUUUAUUCAAGAAUCCUCUAAGGUUUGGUAUAGCUCUACCUAGGGCAAGUUCUUAAAGCUCACUAUAUGAGGUUUAGUUUCUAGAGUAAGGGUACCCGAACCAGCAGAUUCCUCGAUCCUCACCCAUUAUAGGCUCAUAUGGACCGAGUUCAGUUCAGGGGAAUACAUUUCCCUAUGGCUGCACGGAGAUGAAAAUCUCACGAGAACAUAGGUACGGAUGUAUCCCGGAAGCGGUCCACUACCCUGCACGGAGGUGAAAACCUCACGAAGGACUAGUUUCUCGCUCCCACUUAAAGGGUAAAACUGACCAUGUAAAAUGCCAAUGCAAAGUUGCCAAAAUACCAUGAUAAAACAUCAAUGAGUGCGAAGGGUACUCAUGAAAUUUUUUAAAAACUUUUGAUUUUUGACACAAAGACAAAUAUAAUCAGUUUAUGGCUCGACUCUCUAAAGUCCCCAGCAGAGUCGCCAAGCUGUCGAAACCGUUUUUUUUUAAAACAAAAAUUUUAGUUUCGACUUAAAAAUAAAAACUGGAGUCGCCACCGAUCCUUGAUUGGGGUGUGAUCGGCUCACCUUAAAAACAAUUUUGGUCUGCGAAAUUUGAGAAAACAGGUUCGGGAGUCAGUUACGCACGAGGAAGUAUUAGCACCCUCGUAACGCCCAAAAUUGGUACCAAAUUGAUUUUUUUUAAUGCCUUUGUGUCGAAAAUUUGAAAAAAAAUUUAAAAGGAAACUUUUUAUUUCAUGAAAAAAUGAUAAGACAUUCUUAUUUCAAAGAAAUAAAACACCACACCCAGUGAGUUAGGGCACAAUGUCUUUAAAUCUUCAAAAUACUCGAAUAUUGCCUCUUGCUUUUGAAAAUUCUUAUUUCGAGAAGAAAAUGUCAUGACCAGUAAGUUAGGACCCAACAUUUUGAAUUCCCGAGAAUAAGCUUUUAUUUAAAAUUUGCGAAUUUAUUGCAAAACAAAUACUUGGCUUUCUAAAUUCAUCGAAAAAUAAUCGCAAUCCAGUAAGUUAGGACACAAUCUUUCCCGAGAAUCAUGAAUGCCAAAUAUUUUGGAAAUUUGUAAAAAUAUGAUUUUAAUACUUUGAUAAAACCCAAAAUAUAUUUCCCGAAAGGUAUGUUAAAAGUUAAUGUAUAAUAUGAAACACAACUUUAAUUUCAAACAUAUAUGAAUAAAUAUUUACAAAUAUAUAUACAAGUAGGUAUAAUAUACAACUAAAUUUACAAGCAUGUGUACGCAUACAUUCAACAUGUAAAUAUAAGUGUACAUAUAAAAAGACGGAAUGAAAUAUAUCAAUCAAAAUUUAAUAAAAAUGCAUGUAUGUAUUUGAAAAUCGUGAAAAUAACAUAAAAAUAUAAAAAUAUGUACAUAUGUAUAUAUCUACAAAAAAAUGUAUAAGUAUAUAUGUAUUGGUAAAUCAUGAAAAUAUGUGUGUAUUUAAAAGAUUAUAUAUGUACAAUAUGUAUAAAAUAAUAGAAUAGAUAGAACAAAAUGUUUAUAAUAAUUUAAGAAUAUAUAUAGAAUAUAUGUACCACAGAAAAUGAAUAUAUAUUUUAAAUUACAAAAUAUGAGAAAUAUAUGUGUAUUUUGAAAGGUGUAUAUGUAUAUAUAAGGUAUAAAGUAUAAAGUAUAUAAAAGUUUAAAAUAAUAAUAAAAAAGCUAGAAAAACAUGUGAAUAAAACAUAUGCACGAAUUUAUAAAAACUUAAACUGGAUAUAUAUAUAUGUAUUAAAAAUAUGCAUAUUAUAUAUGGAAAAUAUGUGUAUGUGCUAUAUGAAAAAGGCAUGUGUAUAAAUAUGGCAGUAAUAAUAAUAAUAAUGCUAAUAAAUGAAAUAACAGUAGUAAUAGACGGUGGCUAAAUCAAAAUUAAACAAUAAUUUUAGGGUCAAAAUCUAAAAAGGGACUAAAUCAAAUUGAACACGAAAGGGGAAGGACCAAAGAAACAAAUAUCCCCGCUGCAAUAGAAAACGCGGGUUUAGUCGGGUUCUGGGUCGGGUCACACGGGUUAUUGGGUUACAUUAAAACGGGGCCGUUUUUCAAACCAGAUAAAAUCCCCUUUUUCAAACCCUAAAUGAACACCCUAUUCAAUUUGCAACCACAAUAGCUGCAAGGUCCAAGCCCCCUCCUGCUCCUCACGCCGAAGUCAGCAAGAAUGCCGACGGCGCGCCUCUGCCGGUAAGAAACUUCUCCUUUUCCCUCGUUCUUUCAUUUAUUUGUUUUUAAAAACAAGGAAGAAAAUAAAAAGGGUACAAAACAGUAAAGAGAAAGGAAAAACGGAACCAAUCUCAAUACCUUCAAAACUUUUUUUUAUUCUCUGUUUUUGCUUUCUUCAAUCUUUUGAUACAAAGAAUUUUUUCUCUCUUUUCGUCUGUAUCAUUUUUUACACUGAAAAAAUCCCCCACUUUACAGAUUAAAAUCGGCCUUAUAUAGCUGAUUAAUACCAAAAAUCCAAAAAGAAAAAAUAAAAAACCCACUUAUUUUCCGUUAUUUGCUGCGCUUGUGUGCCUCUAUUUUUGCAGGUUUGGUGGUGAAGAGGGCGCAUAUACGUGGAGGCACAAAUCGCGCGGAAGGGACCCUGGCUCCGAGUCGAGCGGUGACGGGGGUUGCUGGGAGCAGAAACGCGCAAAAAGAGGGUGACAGUUGCGGCGGCUACUAGGGUUUUUGACUUUUGAUUUGGGUAAAAAUUUGUUAAAUUUUGGGCUUGUUGGGCUGUUGGUGUUUUGGGCUUGUAAUUAGGGUUAAUAUUUGGGCUAUUGGAUUGGGACUUUGGUUUGUACGGGCCCGGGUAAAUUGGGCUUAUUACAUUCAAUCUUAUGAUACUUUCAAGUAGGUCUCCCUAAUUUGGUAAGAAUUCUGUUUUUCUUUUCAAGCUUCAUUGAUUAAUCUCUAGAAAAUUAGGAUUGUAGUUUUUUUUUUUGUGAUCGAUUAGUAUUUUUAUGCAAUAUUUAGUUUUUUAUUUAUUAAAUGAUUUUGAGAUAUUAAUUUUGUACGAGAUUCCUAACAUAGUGAUUGACUAAUAAUUUAUAAAGGUUGAUUAAUACAAAUCCUUGAAGAAA
RNAcentral lists this long non-coding RNA (10139 nucleotides) under Gossypium barbadense (sea-island cotton). RNAcentral describes it as "long non-coding RNA (GBAR_LNC014763)". Lineage: Eukaryota; Viridiplantae; Streptophyta; Magnoliopsida; Malvales; Malvaceae. The record is from RNAcentral.